RNAcentral lists this transfer RNA (87 nucleotides) under Flammeovirga pacifica. RNAcentral describes it as "tRNA-Leu". It matches the Rfam family "tRNA". From Rfam's summary of the family: Transfer RNA (tRNA) molecules are approximately 80 nucleotides in length. Lineage: Bacteria; Pseudomonadati; Bacteroidota; Cytophagia; Cytophagales; Flammeovirgaceae. The record is from RNAcentral.
GCCUAGGUGGCGGAAUUGGUAGACGCGCUAGACUCAAAAUCUUGUGUGGGUAACCACGUGUGGGUUCGAGUCCCACCCUAGGUACUA